RNAcentral lists this ribosomal RNA (30 nucleotides) under Mollia glabrescens. RNAcentral describes it as "partial 26S ribosomal RNA". Lineage: Eukaryota; Viridiplantae; Streptophyta; Magnoliopsida; Malvales; Malvaceae. The record is from RNAcentral.
GCGACCCCAGGUCAGGCGGGAUCACCCGCU